CCCUCGCAUCUCCAAGCAUCUGGUCACAGCCCCGGCCUCCCUGCCAGGUCUCCAGGCAGGCGCUGGGCAAAGGAAAGGAGGCAGGGGACAGUGGGUAGACCUUCCCCAGCCCGGAGAGACCCCUCACUCCGCCUUGGCCUCAGUGAAUCAGGGAGUGCUCCUGACCUGGUGGGCUGCUGCUCCAUUCUGCCUGAAGCUCAGCGCCUUGGAGUCACUACCUUGGGCCACUUGCAUUGUCGACUAUUGAUUGGCCCCGCAAAAGAGGCCUCACCUUGCAGGAAGCAGGCCUGGCACCAGUGUGGAGGCAGGUGCUUUGCUUCUUCCCAGGCCAGGUGGGGCCCCUCUGCUGAGCCCCACCCCAGGGCACAACUGCCAGGCUGCCCGUGAAGCCGCUGGCGUUGGAUAGAGAAACUGAGGUGCAGGCCGUGAUGUGUCCAGGAUCAAAUCCAGAGCUAACACAGGAGAGUUAUGGAUAGAAGAAAGACAGGUGUCCUGCCUCCAGGUGCAAUUUCUGGCCUCUUUGAGCAUCUCAGUUGCUAAUUCCACCAGAACAGGGAUGCUCGGCUCUGCUCAGAGCCUAGGUCAAAAUCGCCAUGGCUGGAGGAGAAUUUCUGACUUUCAGAUAUCCUUGAGAAUCCAAACCCUUCACAAACAGCCUAGGGAAGGAGACCUUUUAAAUAAAAUACUCUUACCAUCC
Molecule: long non-coding RNA, 697 nt
Filed under: Suricata suricatta (meerkat)
Lineage: Eukaryota; Metazoa; Chordata; Mammalia; Carnivora; Herpestidae
Description: lncRNA (ENSSSUG00005015324.1)
Source: RNAcentral